This is a long non-coding RNA of Exaiptasia diaphana, 229 nucleotides long. RefSeq lists it as uncharacterized. NCBI's taxonomy places the organism in Eukaryota, Metazoa, Cnidaria, Anthozoa, Actiniaria, Aiptasiidae. The transcript is spliced from 3 exons. The record is from RefSeq and is a predicted model, not a curated record.
AUUCUCUUUAGAUUUCAUAUGAAUGGCCUUCCAAAUUGAAAAUCUCUAACUCCGUUGGAGCAAUGCACGUCCAACGUGAAGUUUUAAGAGAAUGCACUUUUAAAGAAGGCGUAUGUAGCUGGAUGAAAGUCAAAAAGAAAAAUAAUUACUGGAACAAAAACAAACAAGAUGGCGUCGACUUCACAAUGAUCGAUACCGUAUUUUCAUCCACUUUUGAAACCGAUGUGUU